ACAGUACUCCCUCCGUCCCAAAAUUCUUGUCUUAGAUUUGUCUAGAUACGGAUGUAUCAAGUCACAUUUUAGUAUUAGAUACAUCCGUAUCUAGACAAAUCUAAGACAAGAAAUUUGGGACAGAGGGAGUAGUUG
Molecule: non-coding RNA, 135 nt
Organism: Triticum aestivum (bread wheat)
Lineage: Eukaryota; Viridiplantae; Streptophyta; Magnoliopsida; Poales; Poaceae
Source: Rfam